UGGCGGCAACUGGAACUCGGAAGCCAGCAACAUCCUGGAAGAAACCGACAGCCUGAAUCUCAAAGAAGCCAGGUAAAUUGGACACAAAGAAACACGUGGUAAUAGCACUUCCUCGCAAAAAAUUGAAAAGGGAAAGGAAUAUGAUGAAGGAACCAGACAUUCAUGCCUUGUUGUUAGUGGAUGUUCAAGUUUUCCUCCAGUCUGUUGGGCUAGAGGAAAGGGAUUAUUUACGGCACUAUAGGUCUAAAGAAAUUGAGAAUCUGCCUAAAAGAUUACUGCACCACACCAAGUGAUGUGGAACAACAUCCAUAGUGCAUGGGUUGCAGAAGAGGUAGGCCUAAUCAGGAUUGGGAGCGUCAUAACAAAGCUUUGUUUGUAUCGGACACAAUACACUGGAUGCAUACCUCAUUAGUGGAGCUGUACAAGUGGGGUGAUGACAGAGGCAUUGAAAAAUUCCUGCAUUAGUUUUUAGAUCGAUCAGUACUGUCCAUGGGAUCGAGAAAAUUUUACUUCAAUAUC
This is a long non-coding RNA of Daphnia magna, 519 nucleotides long. RefSeq lists it as uncharacterized. The transcript has 4 exons. NCBI's taxonomy places the organism in Eukaryota, Metazoa, Arthropoda, Branchiopoda, Diplostraca, Daphniidae. The record is from RefSeq and is a predicted model, not a curated record.